UUAGUACUCCCUCCGUCCGGAAAUACUUGUCGGAUAAAUGCAUAAAAAUAAAUGUAUCUUAAAACUAAAAUACGUCUAGAUACAUCCAUUCCUCCGACAAGUAUUUUCAGACGGUGGGAGUACUAU
Non-coding RNA from Triticum aestivum (bread wheat), 126 nucleotides. Lineage: Eukaryota; Viridiplantae; Streptophyta; Magnoliopsida; Poales; Poaceae. The record is from Rfam.